AGAGAGAGAGAGAGAGAUGGUCAUCACAAAAUGGGGGUCAGUGCCUGCCGGGGCUGCCGAUUUCUCAGAGCAGAGAGUACAGUGUACCGGGAGACGCAGUCAGAGGUUAAGUUAAAACAUUGGAGAGACUAUGCGGGAGGGCG
This is a non-coding RNA of Caenorhabditis elegans, 143 nucleotides long. NCBI's taxonomy places the organism in Eukaryota, Metazoa, Nematoda, Chromadorea, Rhabditida, Rhabditidae. The record is from Ensembl.